Molecule: transfer RNA, 71 nt
Filed under: Marmota monax (woodchuck)
Lineage: Eukaryota; Metazoa; Chordata; Mammalia; Rodentia; Sciuridae
Description: tRNA.Ala
Source: RNAcentral
GGGGUUGUGGCUCAGCGGUACAGUGCUUGCCCAGCACAUGCAAGGCGCUGGGUUCAAUCCUCACUACCACA